AGAGUUUGAUCAUGGCUCAGGAUGAAUGCUGGCGGCGUGGAUAAGGCAUGCAAGUCAAGGGGGCCCGUAAGGCACCGGCANNNGAGGUAGUAACACGUACGAACGCNNNNCAUAGUCUGGCAUAGCUCGUCGAAAGACGGGGUAAUUCGGAUCCGCAAGGUAAAGUUUUUUNNNCAGGGAGCGGCGUGCGUAAUAUCAGCUUGUUGGUGAGGUAAUGGCUCCCAAGNNGACGUUUAGGGGAGCGAGAGGCUGACCNNCNNNGAUGGGACUGAGACACGGCCAUACUCCUCGGGAGGCCGCAGUCGAGAAUCUUCCGCAAUGGGGAAAGCCUGCGGACGACGCCGCGUGCUGGACGAAGUNNNGUACGUAAACAGCUUUUAUGUGGGACGAAAUUUUUGCGGUNNCACAUGAAUAAGGGGCUCCUAACUCUGUNNCAGCAGGAGCGGUAAUACAGAGGCCCCAAGCAUUAUCGGAAUCACUGGGCGUAAAGGGUGUCAAGGCGGUCAUGUUAGUCGUUCGUAAAAUCCGUGGGCUCAACCUACGGCUCGCGAGCGAAACGGCAUGACUAGAGGUUGGGAGAGGUGCGUGGAACUCCGGUGUAGGGGUGAAAUCCGUUGAUAUCGUGGGGAACACCAAAGGCGAAGGCAGCGCACUGGCCAAAUCUGACGCUCACACACGAAAGCCAGGGUAGCGAAGGGAUUAGAUACCCUAGUAGUCC
This 718-nucleotide ribosomal RNA is filed under the name uncultured bacterium. RNAcentral's name for it is "partial 16S ribosomal RNA". It matches the Rfam family "Bacterial small subunit ribosomal RNA", at positions 8 to 796 of the family's 1533-position model. The record is from RNAcentral.